GGGCAAGUUCCGCACGGUCUGCUCCCUGUGAAUCCUGUCAGGGCCGGAAGGCAGCAGCAGUAAAUAGGUUGAAGCGACGCGAUACGGGUAGCUUGCCCCUC
Molecule: signal recognition particle RNA, 101 nt
Filed under: Bacteroidetes bacterium SB0662_bin_6
Lineage: Bacteria; Pseudomonadati; Bacteroidota
Also listed under: 1 other name
Description: signal recognition particle sRNA small type
Rfam family: Bacteroidales small SRP
About the family: The non-coding component of the signal recognition particle in Bacteroides
Source: RNAcentral